RNAcentral lists this ribosomal RNA (527 nucleotides) under Herbaspirillum huttiense subsp. huttiense. RNAcentral describes it as "bacterial SSU rRNA". It matches the Rfam family "Bacterial small subunit ribosomal RNA", at positions 76 to 598 of the family's 1533-position model. Lineage: Bacteria; Pseudomonadati; Pseudomonadota; Betaproteobacteria; Burkholderiales; Oxalobacteraceae. The record is from RNAcentral.
GAGCUUGCUCCUGAUGGCGAGUGGCGAACGGGUGAGUAAUAUAUCGGAACGUGCCCUAGAGUGGGGGAUAACUAGUCGAAAGACUAGCUAAUACCGCAUACGAUCUACGGAUGAAAGUGGGGGAUCGCAAGACCUCAUGCUCCUGGAGCGGCCGAUAUCUGAUUAGCUAGUUGGUGGGGUAAAAGCCUACCAAGGCAACGAUCAGUAGCUGGUCUGAGAGGACGACCAGCCACACUGGGACUGAGACACGGCCCAGACUCCUACGGGAGGCAGCAGUGGGGAAUUUUGGACAAUGGGGGCAACCCUGAUCCAGCAAUGCCGCGUGAGUGAAGAAGGCCUUCGGGUUGUAAAGCUCUUUUGUCAGGGAAGAAACGGUAGUAGCGAAUAACUAUUACUAAUGACGGUACCUGAAGAAUAAGCACCGGCUAACUACGUGCCAGCAGCCGCGGUAAUACGUAGGGUGCAAGCGUUAAUCGGAAUUACUGGGCGUAAAGCGUGCGCAGGCGGUUGUGUAAGUCAGAUGUGAA